Molecule: long non-coding RNA, 2407 nt
Organism: Patella vulgata (common limpet)
Lineage: Eukaryota; Metazoa; Mollusca; Gastropoda; Patellidae
Exons: 7
Source: RefSeq, a predicted model, not a curated record
GCCCAAUAAACUGGUAGAUCAAAGGCCUGUUGAGCGCUCAUGCCCGGUGUGAUUUUAACAAUUGACUCCAAAUGCGUUGACAAGAAAAUAAGUAAAACUGUUAUUGAAUGUGAUUGGUUGAUAAAAUCAACGUACUAUAGGCUACAUUUUGUCUGCGAUGUCAUCUCGGUGGAAGCGGACAUUAAAUGAAGUGAUUUCACACAAUUAAUUUAACAUUUAACAACGUGCUGAAAUGAUUUUGGAGCAGUGAUAUGUUUGACAAAUGUAAGCUAAUGGUCACAUAGAAUACAAGACCGCAGAAUCACAUUAUGAUUAAAGCAGAAACGGUUCGACUUGAACCAGCAGGUAAGAAUCUGUUUUGAAAUUAUAUCUUGGGAGGUUGGAUUGGCGUUGGAGACCCGAUUGGCGGCCAUUUUGAUUCUUGUUUCAUGAUUUUUUUUAUAUUAUAACGAUUUUGCCAAGAGUAGACAUAAACGCGGGCACAGACUAGAAAAAAUCUUUUUACACUUUUGUUCAGUGAUGAUAUGACUCAUUCCACCUUACAGUUACAGCAAUUACCGUAUUGAGAAUUUACCGUUCAAGGACUCCAUUUUGGCAUUGAAUUGGAAUUUGAAGAAAAACUGUUUCAAUAUUGGAUGUAUAUGCAAAUCACCCAGGAAAAGAUCAUGUAACAAAAGAAAUUAUAAAAGUAAAAAAAUGGAAGAAGAAAUGGCUGGAAAAAAUGAUGAUAGAGCAGCUUUUUCUUGUUAGCCACCUCGGAAGAUCAAGACAGCUGGAAAGGGCUAUUGAUAUUGUGGAAGUGUUUUCUUACAGAGGUUGCUUAUCAGACAAAGGCUAUUUAACUACAUCAGAAAGAUAAAAACAGUUGGAAAUGGCUAUUCAUAUUGUGGAAACUUUUCUCACAGAGCUUGAUAAUCAGGCAAAAUGCUGGAACACCCUUGAAAGAGUAUUUGGUGUAUGAUAACAACAAGAGAACCCAAGCAUCAAUUUAUUUUAUACUUCUGGGAAAGAAUGCAUUUGACCCAAUUUUUAAAUAUUUAUUUUUUGUUAUUAAUGUUAAAUUUUCUUCCAAAACACAAUUAGAUUUUAAUUCUCUUCAAAUAUGUAUGUAUAAUAUAGCAAGUAAACUGACAUAUAAAUCACUUAGAAUUUGGUCGGAAAUCAUAAAGUAUUUAAUAGGCAUUACUAGAAACCAAAUGUAGAUCAAAUACACCCAGAAUUACAAAAAAGCUUGACCUACAUUAAGGUGACUUUCCCUUGCUUAUGAAAUGAAAUACGUUUUAAUAUCCUGCUUUUCUGUGUUCUUAGAGUGAUUCUACCCUACCCUUAUAUCAAAUAUUUCAACUGUCAAGGGUUCUUUAAAGGGUACCCAGGGGGGCCGAAUGGUUAACACGCACACAUUUGAUCAGAAGGUCUGUCAUUGAUUCAAAUAAUUCAAUUUUCAAGGGUUCUUCAAAGUGUACGCAGUUGGGUUGGUUUCAAUUCUGGGGGGUGGGGGUGGAUGGCCGAAUGGUUAGCACGUGCAUGCUGUAUCAUACGGCCUCCUGUCAUUGAGUCAACUGGCAUGGUUUCGAAUCCCCGGUUGUAGACAAGGAGUGGGGUCGCCUGUCCAAUCUUGUGGGUUUUCUCCGGGACCUCCGGUUUCCUCCCACUGCUAAAGACCCCUACGCGCUAGCGAAUUAUUGAAAUAAAAUUAAACCAUAUGUUAGUCCCAAAAUGAUCUAGUUUGUGUCGAGUAGACGUUAAACCCCAUUUCUCUCUGUCUCUCUCUCUUUUGAUUCUGGGCUUGUACCCAAUUAUCCCUUGCCAUAUCCAACACUGAAAAGUGGGAACUAUGCCGGAAAAUCCAGUUGAAAUUUCGCGGCCAACGCCUUAUGCUCACUGAACCACUGUGGCUUAUGACUUGUGAUUGUAUAUAAAUCUUUUGUACAUAUGAUAUUUUUUUAUUUCAAUCCUGUAAUCUUGAUGCUUUGCUUCUUUUAUUUAUAAAAUAUUCAUUUUGUUUGGGGUUUUUUUAAUGAGGAAAAGGCUCUACAUCAUUUUAUUACUCCUGCAAAAUAGAGCAAUUUUCUUUUGUUAGUUUUCUGUGUAUGCUAGUUAUUUCUAGAUGCCUCACAAAUCACUUGUAGUGUGAUUUUGUAGCAUUUUUCAGUUUUUGAAAUUGUUUCAAUUUAGUGCAUAAUUAAUCUUAUUAGUGCUUAGUUUGGAUGUUAUUAAAUUUAGAUAUAUUUGAAUUAUAUAUUUUGGGGUAUGGGGUAGGGAUACUGUGUACAUAUCUUUAUAUUCUCAGUUCUUGUUUUGGGGUAAAGAACAAUUUAAAUAGCUAUUUUAUAUUUUGUGAUGGGUAAAGUGUGUGGGGCAAAAAACAAUUUAAAUAGCUAUUUUAUAUUUUGUGAUGGGUAAAGUG